This 2898-nucleotide ribosomal RNA is filed under the name Escherichia coli. RNAcentral describes it as "bacterial LSU rRNA". It matches the Rfam family "Bacterial large subunit ribosomal RNA". Lineage: Bacteria; Pseudomonadati; Pseudomonadota; Gammaproteobacteria; Enterobacterales; Enterobacteriaceae. The record is from RNAcentral.
UUAAGCGACUAAGCGUACACGGUGGAUGCCCUGGCAGUCAGAGGCGAUGAAGGACGUGCUAAUCUGCGAUAAGCGUCGGUAAGGUGAUAUGAACCGUUAUAACCGGCGAUUUCCGAAUGGGGAAACCCAGUGUGAUUCGUCACACUAUCAUUAACUGAAUCCAUAGGUUAAUGAGGCGAACCGGGGGAACUGAAACAUCUAAGUACCCCGAGGAAAAGAAAUCAACCGAGAUUCCCCCAGUAGCGGCGAGCGAACGGGGAGCAGCCCAGAGCCUGAAUCAGUGUGUGUGUUAGUGGAAGCGUCUGGAAAGGCGCGCGAUACAGGGUGACAGCCCCGUACACAAAAAUGCACAUGCUGUGAGCUCGAUGAGUAGGGCGGGACACGUGGUAUCCUGUCUGAAUAUGGGGACCAUCCUCCAAGGCUAAAUACUCCUGACUGACCGAUAGUGAACCAGUACCGUGAGGGAAAGGCGAAAAGAACCCCGGCGAGGGGAGUGAAAAGAACCUGAAACCGUGUACGUACAAGCAGUGGGAGCACGCUUCGGCGUGUGACUGCGUACCUUUGUAUAAUGGGUCAGCGACUUAUAUUCUGUAGCAAGGUUAACCGAAUAGGGGAGCCGAAGGGAAACCGAGUCUUAACUGGGCGUUAAGUUGCAGGGUAUAGACCCGAAACCCGGUGAUUCAGCCAUGGGCAGGUUGAAGGUUGGGUAACACUAACUGGAGGACCGAACCGACUAAUGUUGAAAAAUUAGCGGAUGACUUGUGGCUGGGGGUGAAAGGCCAAUCAAACCGGGAGAUAGCUGGUUCUCCCCGAAAGCUAUUUAGGUAGCGCCUCGUGAAUUCAUCUCCGGGGGUAGAGCACUGUUUCGGCAAGGGGGUCAUCCCGACUUACCAACCCGAUGCAAACUGCGAAUACCGGAGAAUGUUAUCACGGGAGACACACGGCGGGUGCUAACGUCCGUCGUGAAGAGGGAAACAACCCAGACCGCCAGCUAAGGUCCCAAAGUCAUGGUUAAGUGGGAAACGAUGUGGGAAGGCCCAGACAGCCAGGAUGUUGGCUUAGAAGCAGCCAUCAUUUAAAGAAAGCGUAAUAGCUCACUGGUCGAGUCGGCCUGCGCGGAAGAUGUAACGGGGCUAAACCAUGCACCGAAGCUGCGGCAGCGACACUAUGUGUUGUUGGGUAGGGGAGCGUUCUGUAAGCCUGUGAAGGUGUACUGUGAGGUAUGCUGGAGGUAUCAGAAGUGCGAAUGCUGACAUAAGUAACGAUAAAGCGGGUGAAAAGCCCGCUCGCCGGAAGACCAAGGGUUCCUGUCCAACGUUAAUCGGGGCAGGGUGAGUCGACCCCUAAGGCGAGGCCGAAAGGCGUAGUCGAUGGGAAACAGGUUAAUAUUCCUGUACUUGGUGUUACUGCGAAGGGGGGACGGAGAAGGCUAUGUUGGCCGGGCGACGGUUGUCCCGGUUUAAGCGUGUAGGCUGGUUUUCCAGGCAAAUCCGGAAAAUCAAGGCUGAGGCGUGAUGACGAGGCACUACGGUGCUGAAGCAACAAAUGCCCUGCUUCCAGGAAAAGCCUCUAAGCAUCAGGUAACAUCAAAUCGUACCCCAAACCGACACAGGUGGUCAGGUAGAGAAUACCAAGGCGCUUGAGAGAACUCGGGUGAAGGAACUAGGCAAAAUGGUGCCGUAACUUCGGGAGAAGGCACGCUGAUAUGUAGGUGAAGCGACUUGCUCGUGGAGCUGAAAUCAGUCGAAGAUACCAGCUGGCUGCAACUGUUUAUUAAAAACACAGCACUGUGCAAACACGAAAGUGGACGUAUACGGUGUGACGCCUGCCCGGUGCCGGAAGGUUAAUUGAUGGGGUUAGCGGUAACGCGAAGCUCUUGAUCGAAGCCCCGGUAAACGGCGGCCGUAACUAUAACGGUCCUAAGGUAGCGAAAUUCCUUGUCGGGUAAGUUCCGACCUGCACGAAUGGCGUAAUGAUGGCCAGGCUGUCUCCACCCGAGACUCAGUGAAAUUGAACUCGCUGUGAAGAUGCAGUGUACCCGCGGCAAGACGGAAAGACCCCGUGAACCUUUACUAUAGCUUGACACUGAACAUUGAGCCUUGAUGUGUAGGAUAGGUGGGAGGCUUUGAAGUGUGGACGCCAGUCUGCAUGGAGCCGACCUUGAAAUACCACCCUUUAAUGUUUGAUGUUCUAACGUUGACCCGUGAUCCGGGUUGCGGACAGUGUCUGGUGGGUAGUUUGACUGGGGCGGUCUCCUCCUAAAGAGUAACGGAGGAGCACGAAGGUUGGCUAAUCCUGGUCGGACAUCAGGAGGUUAGUGCAAUGGCAUAAGCCAGCUUGACUGCGAGCGUGACGGCGCGAGCAGGUGCGAAAGCAGGUCAUAGUGAUCCGGUGGUUCUGAAUGGAAGGGCCAUCGCUCAACGGAUAAAAGGUACUCCGGGGAUAACAGGCUGAUACCGCCCAAGAGUUCAUAUCGACGGCGGUGUUUGGCACCUCGAUGUCGGCUCAUCACAUCCUGGGGCUGAAGUAGGUCCCAAGGGUAUGGCUGUUCGCCAUUUAAAGUGGUACGCGAGCUGGGUUUAGAACGUCGUGAGACAGUUCGGUCCCUAUCUGCCGUGGGCGCUGGAGAACUGAGGGGGGCUGCUCCUAGUACGAGAGGACCGGAGUGGACGCAUCACUGGUGUUCGGGUUGUCAUGCCAAUGGCACUGCCCGGUAGCUAAAUGCGGAAGAGAUAAGUGCUGAAAGCAUCUAAGCACGAAACUUGCCCCGAGAUGAGUUCUCCCUGACUCCUUGAGAGUCCUGAAGGAACGUUGAAGACGACGACGUUGAUAGGCCGGGUGUGUAAGCGCAGCGAUGCGUUGAGCUAACCGGUACUAAUGAACCGUGAGGCUUAACCU